GUGCUCGCUUCGGCAGCACAUAUACUAAAAUUGGAAUGAUACAGAGAAGAUUAGAAAGGUGGGAUGCAUGUUCUUUAAAUAAAUGUUUAUGUAUAUA
Molecule: small nuclear RNA, 97 nt
Organism: Anolis carolinensis (green anole)
Lineage: Eukaryota; Metazoa; Chordata; Lepidosauria; Squamata; Anolidae
Source: Ensembl